Molecule: ribosomal RNA, 612 nt
Filed under: uncultured bacterium
Lineage: Bacteria
Description: bacterial SSU rRNA
Rfam family: Bacterial small subunit ribosomal RNA
Source: RNAcentral
GAUGGUAAGGUAACGGCUUACCAUGGCUACGAUGUCUAGGGGUUCUGAGAGGAAGAUCCCCCACACUGGAACUGAGACACGGUCCAGACUCCUACGGGAGGCAGCAGUGAGGAAUAUUGGACAAUGGAUGGAAAUCUGAUCCAGCCAUGCCGCGUGCAGGAAGACGGCCCUAUGGGUUGUAAACUGCCUUUAUACGGGAGCAAUAAGGUCUACGUGUAGGCCGAUGAGAGUACCGUAGGAAUAAGCACCGGCUAACUCCGUGCCAGCAGCCGCGGUAAUACGGAGGGUGCAAGCGUUAUCCGGAUUUAUUGGGUUUAAAGGGUGCGUAGGCGGUCAAUUAAGUCAGCGGUGAAAGUUUUCAGCUUAACUGGAAAAAUGCCGUUGAUACUGAUAGGCUAGAAUAUGGUUGCUGUGGGUGGAAUGUGUGGUGUAGCGGUGAAAUGCUUAGAUAUCACACAGAAUAUCAAUUGCGAAGGCAGCUCACAAAGCCAUUAUUGACGCUGAGGCACGAAAGUGUGGGGAUCAAACAGGAUUAGAUACCCUGGUAGUCCACACCGUAAACGAUGAUAACUCGCUGUCGGCGAUAAACAGUCGGUAGCCAAGCGAAAGCGA